Long non-coding RNA from Xenopus tropicalis (tropical clawed frog), 861 nucleotides. RefSeq lists it as uncharacterized. The transcript has 4 exons. The record is from RefSeq and is a predicted model, not a curated record. NCBI's taxonomy places the organism in Eukaryota, Metazoa, Chordata, Amphibia, Anura, Pipidae.
AAUCUUGGCCGAUCUGGCCUUGCUCUUGUAUUUCCCUUGGUACUGUGUUAACUUUCUGUGUAUGAUCUGGCCCAUACUCUGACCUUGCCUCUGCCUCGUGCCUGGUUACUGGUUCUGUCCUCUAGUAAAGGACCCGGCCCGCAGCUGAUACCUGACUCCCAUAAGAACAAACCUGACAGCUUAGAGCUGAGACUCUGCUGAAUCCCACAGCUUCAUCGUAUCGUAUCUGUUAAUCUGGGGAGCAAGAGAAAGGGGUCGUUAAGAUGGUCUGAGUAAUUAUCAAAGCCUGCAGCUAUGUGGCGCACAAGAUCGGCAGUCUCUGCAGAAGCGAAGAUAAAGAGGAACAUCCAAUCACCAUAUCCACUCAGAAGGAUGUAAUGAGCAGUGGAAAUGUGAUGCCAAAAGGAGAUGAACCAAUGAAAAUGGAGACUGCCAAGAAAGAUGCCCCACAAUGCGUAUCUGGGGGCUGACGAAUGUAAAGCCAGGCACUUGCCUGGGAGCUAAUGAUAUACAAUGCCCAAUGUUACUAUCACAGGAGAAAAGAAGAACACUUGUGUCUCAAUACACCUGAAAACAAAUUUAGUUUAGCAAAAACAUCAAAACAUUACAAAUGACCAUAUUAGUAAGAUUCGGAGAAAUGCCCAAAUUUACUUAGUUCAUAGAUCAGCAGAAUAUAUUGAAGUCUGUAGAGCAAUGACAGGCAGUGACGAAUGGUGACAGCUUUAUAAACUUCCGUCACAGGGGGAUGAGGCUGUCGGAAAAUAACCUGAUCUGUCAUUUCUGCAGCAUUUUACCUUUCAUGCAAAGAAUAAACAAAUAAAGAAUUCUUGACUAAAACGAAUGUAUUCAGUCAACAAACUA